GACGGACGCUGGCGGCGUGCUUAACACAUGCAAGUCGAACGGUAAGGCCCUUCGGGGUACACGAGUGGCGAACGGGUGAGUAACACGUGGGUGAUCUGCCCUGCACUUCGGGAUAAGCCUGGGAAACUGGGUCUAAUACCGGAUAGGACUCCGGACUGCAUGGUCUGGGGUGGAAAGCUUUUGCGGUGUGGGAUGGGCCCGCGGCCUAUCAGCUGGUUGGUGGGGUGAUGGCCUACCAAGGCGACGACGGGUAGCCGGCCUGAGAGGGUGACCGGCCACACUGGGACUGAGAUACGGCCCAGACUCCUACGGGAGGCAGCAGUGGGGAAUAUUGCAUAAUGGGCGCAAGCCUGAUGCAGCGACGCCGCGUGAGGGAUGACGGCCUUCGGGUUGUAAACCUCUUUCAGCAUCGACGAAGCGAAAGUGACGGUAGGUGCAGAAGAAGGACCGGCCAACUACGUGCCAGCAGCCGCGGUAA
Molecule: ribosomal RNA, 478 nt
Filed under: uncultured bacterium
Lineage: Bacteria
Description: partial 16S ribosomal RNA
Rfam family: Bacterial small subunit ribosomal RNA
Source: RNAcentral